Molecule: ribosomal RNA, 252 nt
Filed under: uncultured bacterium
Lineage: Bacteria
Description: partial 16S ribosomal RNA
Rfam family: Bacterial small subunit ribosomal RNA
Source: RNAcentral
UACGUAGGGUGCAAGCGUUAAUCGGAAUUACUGGGCGUAAAGGGCGCGUAGGCGGUGUGUCAAGUCAGGCGUGAAAGCCCCGGGCUCAACCUGGGAACCGCGCUUGAGACUGGCACGCUCGAGUUCGGGAGAGGAUGGUGGAAUUCCCAGUGUAGAGGUGAAAUUCGUAGAUAUUGGGAAGAACACCGAUGGCGAAGGCAGCCAUCUGGACCGACACUGACGCUGAGGCGCGAAAGCGUGGGGAGCAACAGG